AGCGAACGCUGGCGGCAGGCUUAACACAUGCAAGUCGAGCGGGCCUUUCGGGGUCAGCGGCGGACGGGUGAGUAACGCGUGGGAACGUGCCCUCUGGUUCGGAAUAACUCAGGGAAACUUGAGCUAAUACCGGAUACGCCCUUUUGGGGAAAGGCUUGCUGCCGGAGGAUCGGCCCGCGUCUGAUUAGCUAGUUGGUGAGGUAACGGCUCACCAAGGCGACGAUCAGUAGCUGGUCUGAGAGGAUGAUCAGCCACACUGGGACUGAGACACGGCCCAGACUCCUACGGGAGGCAGCAGUGGGGAAUAUUGGACGAUGGGCGCAAGCCUGAUCCAGCCAUGCCGCGUGAGUGAUGAAGGCCUUAGGGUUGUAAAGCUCUUUUAUCCGGGACGAUAAUGACGGUACCGGAGGAAUAAGCCCCGGCUAACUUCGUG
RNAcentral lists this ribosomal RNA (433 nucleotides) under uncultured bacterium. RNAcentral's name for it is "partial 16S ribosomal RNA". It matches the Rfam family "Bacterial small subunit ribosomal RNA", at positions 29 to 507 of the family's 1533-position model. The record is from RNAcentral.